This 354-nucleotide ribosomal RNA is filed under the name uncultured bacterium. RNAcentral describes it as "partial 16S ribosomal RNA". It matches the Rfam family "Bacterial small subunit ribosomal RNA", at positions 338 to 709 of the family's 1533-position model. The record is from RNAcentral.
CCUACGUGUGGCAGCAGUAGGGAAUAUUGCUCAAUGGGGGAAACCCUGAAGCAGCAACGCCGCGUGGAGGAUGAAGGUUUUCGGAUUGUAAACUCCUUUUGUUAGAGAAGAUAAUGAUGAUAUCUAACGACUAAGUACUGGCUAACUCCGUGCCAGCAGCCGCGGUCAUACGGAGGGUGCAAGCGUUACUCGGAAGCACGGGGCGUAAAGAGAGCGGAGGCGGAAUAGCAAGUCAGAUGUGAAAUCCUAGGGCUUAACCAUAGAAUUGCAUUUGAAACUGUUAUUCUAGAGUAGUGGAGAGGUAGGUGGAAUUCUUGGUGUAGGGGUAAAAUGCGUAGAGAUCAAGAGGAAUAC